Molecule: long non-coding RNA, 682 nt
Filed under: Amborella trichopoda
Lineage: Eukaryota; Viridiplantae; Streptophyta; Magnoliopsida; Amborellales; Amborellaceae
Description: long non-coding RNA (ATRI_LNC004277)
Source: RNAcentral
GUCAGAAUAAAGCUUCAAAAAAAUCCGAAAAAAUUAUUAAAAUUCAUUAUAAAUAUUGUUUUUUAGGAAUUCAAUAAAAAAUGAGGGUACUCCAUUAAGAAUUUUCAUGUUUUUGAAUGAAUAUGCGAAUAUUGAUAUGUUCUUCCCCUGCAUGAGCCGCCAUUCAACAUUUAAUUUACAUCACACAAAAGGAUAAACAUAGAAUUAUCAUGGAAUAAGUAUAUCAACAUACAUGGACUACAAUAAAGCAUAAAAUUAGUAACAUACGAUCUAAAUUAAGAUAUAAAAAGUUUAAAUUAACCUGACAGUUCAAAAAGAAAAAUAAUCACUAUAUGUAGUGAUAAUAUGUUGCGGUAGUUCAUGUAGUCAUAUUCGUUGUUAUUUGUUAUUGCAAAAGGACAAUAAUAUUUUCGUACAUAUCAAUUACAAACAUUUAGAAUAAUACAAAAUGCAAGCUCCAAACAUGGCUACAACUCAAUUAUCAAGAACAUACAUUUUUUGCAUUAAAAAAUUAAUAAUAAAAACAAUUCUUCAAAGAGCCGGCUAACAUCAGUCAUUCCAACUAAAAAAUCCAUGAAAAACAUAUAAAAAAAAUACAGUUUUGUAUUGAAAAUAUAAUAACAUGCAUCUUUUUGCAUAAAUAAUCCAUCAACAUACAAUUUUUUCAACAAAAACUUUAACA